This is a long non-coding RNA of Heterocephalus glaber (naked mole-rat), 466 nucleotides long. The record is from Ensembl. NCBI's taxonomy places the organism in Eukaryota, Metazoa, Chordata, Mammalia, Rodentia, Bathyergidae.
GGAAGUUUGAAAUUGGCGGUUACGCAGGAUGCGGUGUGUGGAGGAGCUCCAGUCUUCACCUUCACCUUGGACGUCAUCUCCUGGCUUCCAGUGCAAACUCUUCAACUUCUGUGGCAGAUCCUUCAGCCUUCCAGUGUAGACUCUUCAGCUUUCUAUCGCAGACCUAUCGGCCUUCUGUUAUGGACUCACACGGGACACUGCAAUGAGCUCCAGACCUUCAACUAAAUCCUUCAGGCUCCAAUGUGCAGACAGAUCCUCUGCACCCUUCCUCAUCUGACUGUGGGCGUCCAUUGUAUAAAGAUAGGUGCCCCCAUCAAAGGAAGAAGUUGUUCUGAGAAAAUAAAGACAUUAUACAGAAGGCGGUACAGGUUCUGAUGCUGUUUCAGUGCUAGUGAGCUAGUACCAUGCAGAUGGAAGCAGUGCCUGUCCAGGGAAUGGCAGAGCAACAACACAGAAAGAACCUGGG